This 253-nucleotide ribosomal RNA is filed under the name uncultured bacterium. RNAcentral describes it as "partial 16S ribosomal RNA". It matches the Rfam family "Bacterial small subunit ribosomal RNA", at positions 524 to 776 of the family's 1533-position model. The record is from RNAcentral.
UACGUAGGGCGCAAGCGUUGUCCGGAAUUAUUGGGCGUAAAGAGCUCGUAGGUGGUUUGUUACGUCUGCUGUGAAAACCUAGGGCUUAACCCUGGGCCUGCAGUGGAUACGGGCAGACUAGAGGUAGGUAGGGGAGAAUGGAAUUCCCGGUGUAGCGGUGAAAUGCGCAGAUAUCGGGAGGAACACCGGUGGCGAAGGCGGUUCUCUGGGCCUUGCCUGACACUGAGGAGCGAAAGCGUGGGGAGCGAACAGG